UAGGGAAUCUUCCACAAUGGACGCAAGUCUGAUGGAGCAACGCCGCGUGAGUGAAGAAGGUUUUCGGAUCGUAAAGCUCUGUUGUUGGUAAAGAAGGAUAGAGGUAGUAACUGGCCUUUAUUUGACGGUAAUCAACCAGAAAGUCACGGCUAACUACGUGCCAGCAGCCGCGGUAAUACGUAGGUGGCAAGCGUUGUCCGGAUUUAUUGGGCGUAAAGCGAGCGCAGGCGGAAGAAUAAGUCUGAUGUGAAAGCCCUCGGCUUAACCGAAGAACUGCAUCGGAAACUGUUUUUCUUGAGUGCAGAAGAGGAGAGUGGAAUUCCAUGUGUAGCGGUGGAAUGCGUAGAUAUAUAGAAGAACACCAGUGGCGAAGGCGACUCUCUGGUCUGCAACUGACGCUGAGGCUCGAGAGCAUGGGUAGCGAACAGG
RNAcentral lists this ribosomal RNA (429 nucleotides) under bacterium. Its description in RNAcentral is "partial 16S ribosomal RNA". It matches the Rfam family "Bacterial small subunit ribosomal RNA", at positions 355 to 776 of the family's 1533-position model. The record is from RNAcentral.